UUAAUUUUUUAGUGUUAGUUGCUCUCUAACAAUUUCGGAGUCGUUAUCGCAUGCGCAUGUCGCGUUCGCGCCUCCGUCGAAUAAUUUUCUGUGUUCCGCCCGCCUUCGAGUUUUCCAUCGACGUCCUACGCCUGGAAUAAUCGCCAUUCCUGCUUUCGAAUCCGUUGACGAUCCAGUUUAUAAAUCCCAUAAAUACAAACCGAUCCCCAAUUCGAGGGACGAGUGCGCGAGUGUGUCCGGGGGGGAUUCAAAAAUAAUGCCGCUUAAUUAAACAUAUUGACCAGUGGCCGUAAAUAAUGGAAUUUUAAAUUCACCCGUGUUGAAAAGUUCAUUACAUUGUGAGUCCGGGCACACAAAAAUAUUUUUAACUGCAUUUGAAAAAUAAUUCCGGGCCGAUAUUUAAUGACGGCUACCCAACGGAUUUUUAUGAGUUCGACGAUUUCGUUUCAAAUUAUUAAGUGAUUGGGUGAAAUAUUCCUCUGGUCUUAUCACACAGUUCAUAGAAUCAUUAAAGGCGAUUUUGACCAAAAGCGCUACCCAAAUAACUGUAUCAAUAAAAAGCUGUACGCGUCACUGGAAGUGAGCAGACCGGUGGAGUAGAUCCAUCCCCAUUCAGCAGCGGUGCAGACCCACCAAGCACCACCCCAGCAACAA
This is a long non-coding RNA of Drosophila mauritiana, 654 nucleotides long. RefSeq lists it as uncharacterized. Lineage: Eukaryota; Metazoa; Arthropoda; Insecta; Diptera; Drosophilidae. The transcript has 3 exons. The record is from RefSeq and is a predicted model, not a curated record.